Pygocentrus nattereri (red-bellied piranha) is the source of this 592-nucleotide long non-coding RNA. RefSeq lists it as uncharacterized. NCBI's taxonomy places the organism in Eukaryota, Metazoa, Chordata, Actinopteri, Characiformes, Serrasalmidae. The transcript is spliced from 2 exons. The record is from RefSeq and is a predicted model, not a curated record.
UCUACCACGGCAACACUCGCCCUCCUGCUUUCUCUCCAUUUCUCUCUUUUCAUCAUGAAGAAGCGCUGAGGAGCUCAUGGUACUUGCAAUUUUUACGAAAAUAAUGGCAAAGGGGAAAAAAAACAUGCACAUCUUUGCGGGACGGAACAGAAAGGAUGACCAACGGCAUGUCGUGUGUCUCAACGAAGACCCUGUCCAGGCCUGGGAGAGACAGAUAUACACACUAGCACGGGCAGUGACCUGUGGUCCGGCCAAUCGUUCUACAUCCCCUCCCCCCCGCCUGCCCAGUGUUCAGACUACCUGUUCAUCAUGCUGUAGCUGAACAGUAGUCCGCACAUUGGUUAGGCUGGGCCGGGACACACACACACUGGCACAAUCAUGUUCAACGCCUAUGUAGAGUAAACUCGACAGCUUUCUGCUUCAGGUAUAGACUGAAGGUCAAAAUCCUAAAUAUUGCACUCUACAAUGUUUACAGUCCAAUCUGUGUAGCAAUUACUGAAUUCACUAAUGAAGGUCUAUGUUAAACCUUGCCGUGUCUGUCCUUUUUGUCCAUAGCCAUGAUACAAUAAAGGCAUAUUAAUAUCUGGAAAAA